AUUAUUUUAAGAUUAUUUUUUAUUGUUGAAAAAAUUAAAAAUAAAUUGUUUUUAACAAAAAUUAAAAUUUAUAAUAAUUCAUUUUUUGGUUUUUUGUUUUAAAUUAAAAUAAUAAAUAUGGGGGAAAAAAAAAUUUUGUUAUAAAUUAUAUUAGUUUAUUUUAACUAAAAAUAUUUUUUAUUAAAUUUGUUUUUUUUAUUUUUUUAUAAAAAAUAUUAAUUUAAUUAUUAUUAUUGAGUUUAAUUUAGUUAUUUUUAAAAAAAUUUUGUAUAAAAUAAAUUUGAUAAUAAAUGUUUUUUAAAUUCUUUGGGGGUUUAGUUUAUGAUUUUUUGUUUCUGCUCAUUGUUAAAUAAAAGCACUUUUAGCGUGAUUAGUCAAAGGUA
RNAcentral lists this ribosomal RNA (383 nucleotides) under Meloidogyne enterolobii. RNAcentral describes it as "partial 16S large subunit ribosomal RNA". The record is from RNAcentral. Lineage: Eukaryota; Metazoa; Nematoda; Chromadorea; Rhabditida; Meloidogynidae.